Non-coding RNA from Schizosaccharomyces pombe (fission yeast), 416 nucleotides. The record is from the annotation of a GenBank genome assembly. Lineage: Eukaryota; Fungi; Ascomycota; Schizosaccharomycetes; Schizosaccharomycetales; Schizosaccharomycetaceae.
GAGGAUGAAUCAUUAUCUUCAGAAGAAGAUUCACUCUCAGAUGAGGAUGAAGAAGAGGAUGAAUCACUACCUUCAGAAGAAGAUUCACUCUCUGAGUCAGAUGAAGAAGAGGAUGAAUCACUAUCUUCAGAAGAAGAUUCACUCUCUGAGUCAGAUGAAGAAGAGGAUGAAUCAUUAUCUUCAGAAGAAGAUUCACUCUCAGAUGAGGAUGAAGAAGAGGAUGAAUCACUACCUUCAGAAGAAGAUUCACUCUCUGAGUCAGAUGAAGAAGAGGAUGAAUCACUAUCUUCAGAAGAAGAUUCACUCUCUGAGUCAGAUGAAGAAGAGGAUGAAUCAUUAUCUUCAGAAGAAGAUUCACUCUCAGAUGAGGAUGAGUCACUUUCAUCUGAUGAAGAUCCACUUCCGGAUGCUUCAGA